UGGGGUGUCGCCAAGCGGUAAGGCAACGGACUUUGACUCCGUCAUUGCGCUGGUUCGAAUCCAGCCAUCCCAGCCA
This 76-nucleotide transfer RNA is filed under the name [Clostridium] leptum. RNAcentral describes it as "tRNA-Gln". It matches the Rfam family "tRNA". Rfam says of the family: Transfer RNA (tRNA) molecules are approximately 80 nucleotides in length. Their secondary structure includes four short double-helical elements and three loops (D, anti-codon, and T loops). Further hydrogen bonds mediate the characteristic L-shaped molecular structure. tRNAs have two regions of fundamental functional importance: the anti-codon, which is responsible for specific mRNA codon recognition, and the 3' end, to which the tRNAs corresponding amino acid is attached (by aminoacyl-tRNA synthetases). tRNAs cope with the degeneracy of the genetic code in two manners: having more than one tRNA (with a specific anti-codon) for a particular amino acid; and 'wobble' base-pairing, i.e. permitting non-standard base-pairing at the 3rd anti-codon position. The record is from RNAcentral. RNAcentral also lists the same sequence under 1 other name. Lineage: Bacteria; Bacillati; Bacillota; Clostridia; Eubacteriales; Oscillospiraceae.